Molecule: ribosomal RNA, 279 nt
Filed under: uncultured bacterium
Lineage: Bacteria
Description: partial 16S ribosomal RNA
Rfam family: Bacterial small subunit ribosomal RNA
Source: RNAcentral
UGCCAGCAGCCGCGGUAAUACGGAGGGGGCAAGUGUUAUUCGGAAUGACUGGGCGUAAAGGGCACGUAGGCGGUUUUAUAGGUUGUUAGUAAAAGACUAAGGCACUUCCUUAGUAAUGCUUUCAAAACCGUAAAUCUAGAGCUUGAUAGAGGAAAAUAGAAUUUCUGGAGUAGAGGUUGAAUUCGGAGAUCUCAGAAGGAAUGCCAAAGGCGAAGGCAAUUUUCUGGCUCAUGGCUGACGCUGAGGUGCGAAGGCACAAGUAUCAAGUGGGAUUAGAUA